CUUAUGUUAUGAUGAAAAACACAGUCAACAGUUAUCCCUGUCUUAAAGAAUACAUGUGGAUUUUAUAAUUAGACUCUGAACAUAUU
Molecule: small nucleolar RNA, 86 nt
Rfam family: Small nucleolar RNA R38
About the family: snoR38 is a C/D box small nucleolar RNA conserved across yeast, human, Arabidopsis and rice. It is encoded in the intron of elongation factor-1 gamma in both pombe and cerevisiae. snoR38 guides the methylation of 2'-O-ribose sites in 28S rRNA.
Source: Rfam